RNAcentral lists this long non-coding RNA (1104 nucleotides) under Ovis aries (sheep). RNAcentral's name for it is "lncRNA (ENSOARG00000026153.1)". Lineage: Eukaryota; Metazoa; Chordata; Mammalia; Artiodactyla; Bovidae. The record is from RNAcentral.
UCUCAUUUUUUGUCCCCCUCCUCACCUUACACUCAGUGUUUCCAGAACAUGCUUUGCCAUUUGCCUUAUAUGGUGUUCUCUCUGUUUAGAGAAAUCCUUGCUCUUGAAUAAGUUUCAUUUGUCCUGUAAGUUGUCCUUGAAUAAGUCUCACCUGUUCUGUAGGGAUCAAAUCUGUGAGUUCCUCCAGGAAAACCUCACCUGAGCCUCCAGACUUGGGAACCUGUGGUUCCUGUCCCUCCCAACCGUGUUCCCUUCCCACCCUGCUCAGCUGCUCACGCCUCUGAGCGCAUCACCUGCUGGCCUGUGUGUGCGCCUGGCAGGGCGCCCUUGACACAGGGGCCUGUUCUGUGUGCUGCUUCCUCAGGGUCCAGCACAGGGUGGGAGCCUGAACAUGUUCUCAGGGUGAGAGGCUCUGUGUCCCAGGACUGAGCCCUCCUCACAAUGCAGUGAGCUUUGGGGACGACGGAGGAACCAGUCAGGGUGCGGGCUCCCGGGUCACACGAGGGUGCCGGGUGCUCGGGGAGCCCGUGACUGGCUUUGUCUCUGGUGGAUUUGGUCUGAAGGCUCUUUUCUAGGAGAUGGCCUGUUGUUACCUUGCUGGGGAUGUGCCUGCAGAAGGCUUCAGAAGGCUUCAAGACUGCAGUGGGUCACUGAGCUUUGUAAUUAGCUGCUUGUGACCACCACCCCCAUGCCUGCACGCACGCACGCACGCACGCACGCAUGCGCGAGCCCCUCCCACGCCCUUUGGCAUCCAGUUCCGGAGAGUCACAGGCCCAGAGGCACGUGCCAGCUGCCCUCCUCCUGGCCUUAGCAGAGAGAGAGGCUCAUCUCAGGGGUUCCAUCUGCCCCGGGGGAGGUGAACUUGGACCUCAGGGCAGCCUGCUGGGCAGGGUGGGGCCUGCAGUCCGCCCCUCCCCCAUGGUGCAGGCACCCCCCUCCAUGGGGGCCCAUGUGGACUUGCUGUCAUCACUGUGCAGGGCACAUCCGGAAGUGUUUCAGCAAACAUACAAAACUCCUCCUCCGUCCUGUCCUGUAAGUGGCCCCAAGGUGCAUCACAGAACCCUUUUUUCAGGCUGUCAGAAGCACAGGCUGCAGUGGUUAUGA